AAGUCGUAACAAGGUUUCCGUAGGUGAACCUGCGGAAGGAUCAUUAUUGAAUUUAAUGAAGAGUUUGGUUGUAGCUGGUCCAAUGGAUUUUUAAAUUAAAAAUUAAAAAUUGGGCAUGUGCACACCUUUCUCUUUCAUCCAUACACACCUGUGCACCUGUGAGACAGAUUCAAGGGAACUUUCUUUUUUUUCUAUGAGGGGGACCCUGCUGUCUAUUUAAUUUAUAUAAACUCAAUUUAAUUUAAAAUGAAUGUAAUGGAUGCAACACAUCUAAUACUAAGUUUCAACAACGGAUCUCCUGGCUCUCGCAUCGAUGAAGAACGCAGCGAAAUGCGAUAAGUAAUGUGAAUUGCAGAAUUCAGUGAAUCAUCGAAUCUUUGAACGCACCUUGCGCUCCUCGGCAUUCCUUGGAGCAUGCCUGUUUGAGUAUCGUGAAAUAUUCAAAGUAAAUCUUUUGUUUACUCAAUUGGUUCUACUUUGGUUUUGGAGGUUUAUUGCAGCUUCACACCUGCUCCUCUUUGUGCAUUAGCUGGAUUCUCAGUGUUAUGCUUGGUUCCACUUGGCGUGAUAAAUUAAUUUAAUCGCUGAGGACACUCUCUAUGACUAAAUAGGGGGUGGCCAAGGUAAAUACAGAUGAACCUGCUUCUAAUAGUCCAUUGACUUGGACAAUAUAAAUAUUUAUUAUGAUCUGAUCUCAAAUCAGGUAGGACUACCCGCUGAACUUAA
RNAcentral lists this unclassified non-coding RNA (726 nucleotides) under fungal sp. Kamogawa 3. Its description in RNAcentral is "partial contains 18S rRNA, ITS1, 5.8S rRNA, ITS2 and 28S RNA". The stretch from base 279 to 432 matches the Rfam family "5.8S ribosomal RNA". Lineage: Eukaryota; Fungi. The record is from RNAcentral.